RNAcentral lists this ribosomal RNA (408 nucleotides) under uncultured bacterium. RNAcentral's name for it is "partial 16S ribosomal RNA". It matches the Rfam family "Bacterial small subunit ribosomal RNA", at positions 29 to 526 of the family's 1533-position model. The record is from RNAcentral.
AGUGAACGCUGGCGGCGUGCCUAAUACAUGCAAGUCGAACGGAGUGGCGCACGGGUGAGUAAUAUAUAGCUAAUCUGCCCCUUGCUGGAGGACAACAGUUAGAAAUGAAUGCUAAUACUCCAUAGCAAGGGAUGAGACUAUAUCGUAUCAGCUAGUCGGUUGGGUCACGGCCUACCGAGGCGAUGACGCGUAACUGGUCUGAGAGGAGGCUCAGUCAGAUUGGAACUGAGACACGGUCCAAACUCCUACGGGAGGAAGCAGUAGGGAAUAUUGCGCCAUGGGUGAAACCCUGACGAAGCAACGCCGCGUGGAGGAUGACACUUUUCGGAGCGUAACCUCCUUUGGUUAGGGAAGCGGUACCUAACGAAUAAGCACCGGCUAACUCCGUGCCAGCAGCCGCGGUAAUUC